AGAUGAAGCGUGACGCUGAUGUCCCAGUGGUGUGCCAAACGCAUGCUGCGAUUUAGAGUGCACACAUACCCACAGCGGAGCUCCCGGGCACAGACAGCCGCACAAAGGGGCACCAACGUCAGCGGUCAGUGCUCACCAAUGGUGAAGAAGGUGCACCGACGUCAGUGGUCAGUGCUCACCAACGAUGAAGAGGGUGCACCAACGUCAGCGGUCAGUGCUCACCAACGAUGAAGAAGGUGCACCAACGUCAGCGGUCAGUGCUCACCAACGAUGAAGAAGGUGCACCAACGUUAGCGGUCAGUGCUCGGGGUGUCGGGGUUUACAUGCCAUAGCAAGAGGAGCUACCGCUAAG
Molecule: long non-coding RNA, 352 nt
Organism: Brienomyrus brachyistius
Lineage: Eukaryota; Metazoa; Chordata; Actinopteri; Osteoglossiformes; Mormyridae
Exons: 3
Source: RefSeq, a predicted model, not a curated record